RNAcentral lists this ribosomal RNA (424 nucleotides) under uncultured prokaryote. RNAcentral's name for it is "bacterial SSU rRNA". It matches the Rfam family "Bacterial small subunit ribosomal RNA", at positions 355 to 796 of the family's 1533-position model. The record is from RNAcentral.
UGGGGAAUAUUGCACAAUGGGCGCAAGCCUGAUGCAGCCAUGCCGCGUGAAUGAUGAAGGCCUUAGGGUUGUAAAAUUCUUUCGCUAGGGAUGAUAAUGACAGUACCUAGUAAAGAAGCCCCGGCUAACUUCGUGCCAGCAGCCGCGGUAAUACGAAGGGGGCUAGCGUUGUUCGGAAUUACUGGGCGUAAAGCGCACGUAGGCGGACUUUUAAGUCAGAUGUGAAGUCCCGAGGCUCAACCUCGGAACUGCAUUUGAAACUGGGAGUCUAGAGAUCAGGAGAGGUUAGCGGAAUACCGAGUGUAGAGGUGAAAUUCGUAGAUAUUCGGUGGAACACCAGUGGCGAAGGCGGCUCACUGGCCCGGUACUGACGCUGAGGUGCGAAAGCGUGGGGAGCAAACAGGAUUAGAUACCCGCGUAGUCC